Molecule: long non-coding RNA, 1269 nt
Organism: Capsicum annuum
Lineage: Eukaryota; Viridiplantae; Streptophyta; Magnoliopsida; Solanales; Solanaceae
Exons: 3
Source: RefSeq, a predicted model, not a curated record
CGCCCCCCACUUCCAUUCUUUUCUUUAGCAAGAAGAUGAAUUUCCCCCCCUCUCUUCCAUUAUCCUCUCUAGCAAGAAAAUGAGCUUUUAAAAAAAAAAAAAAAUUGGUUCGAUUUAGAGAAGGGAAAUUGGAAAUUGAUGAAUUAAAGAAGGAAAAUUGAUUUGCAUUUUGACUGAUUUGUAGUGGGAUCAAGAAAACGGAGAGGAAGAAGAUAAGAAGACGACGAUGACUUUAUGGAGUGGAAGAAGAUAAGAAGACGAGAAUGACUUUAAGGAAUAAUCAAAGAGAACAAAAAAGAAGAAGAGGAUGAUGAUUCAUAUGCUAAUAGAAAUAGAUCAGUGAGAUCAUCAAUCAAUCCUGAUUCCGAUUCAGACUGAUGAGUUUAGAAAUGUCGAAUGAGCAUCAUGUUAGAGUUGCAUUGUAUGGGGACGACGAUGUCAUGCAGCAUGAGGGAUAAAUAUGGAAGACUACUAUUCAACACCAAGAAUGCGAAUUCAAAAUUGUUAUGCAAUGUUUGAAAGAUGUUGAGCCAGGUGCGCACAAUUUUUUAAUGAAAAUUCCAUUAGAAAAGUGGACCGUUCAUCAUGAUGGCGGUAAAAGAUGGGGCAUUUUAACAAUCAAUCUUUCUGAAUUUUUCAAUAGAUUUGUAAAGAAAUUUUGAGGCUUUCAAUUACUGUAAUGAUUAAGCUUACAUACGGUCAAAGUGUGAAAAGAUUUAUGUCCAGGAAGCAUCAUGCACAAGAGCUCAUUAAUGAAAAAGAACUAUGGCCACCUGUGGUUACAAAAUUUUUUCUGAAGUAUGAAUUGAAGUCUAAAAUUCAUCAGUGACAACUUUUAAUAGAGAAACAGGGGGUAUUCGAGGUUGAAAUAUAUCGUCAUCAAGGUCGUGGUGGCAGAAAACAUAUCAUUAAAUUUAGUAGGAAUACGUGUGAAUGUCAAAAGUGACAAGCGUAUCACGUGCCAUGUUUGCAUGUGUUGAAGGUUAUUGGGUAGAUGAAUAGGGUUGCACAUGAUUUGGUUAGUGAAUAUUAUAGCACAGUGAAGUAUUUUGAGACAUAUACAGUGUCGUUUCAACCACUUGGAGAUGAAGAAAACUGAUCGAAAGUGCCUUUUAAAAUGAUUUACAAUGAGAUAUUUAUCCAAAAGAAAGGAGCUAAAAAAACUACACGUGUUCCAAAUGAGAUGGACGUUGGACGUACAAGAUACUCAAAAGCUUGUGAAAUCUAUAGAAUAACGGAGCAUGAAAGGCGUAGUUGUCCGAACCAAGA